Molecule: long non-coding RNA, 655 nt
Organism: Zingiber officinale
Lineage: Eukaryota; Viridiplantae; Streptophyta; Magnoliopsida; Zingiberales; Zingiberaceae
Exons: 2
Source: RefSeq, a predicted model, not a curated record
AUAUAUAUGUUUUCUUUUUUGUAAUAUUAGAUUCAUACAAAAAAGAGAAAUAGGCUUGAACAUGCAAAGUUGAAUGCGUUGGUGUUUGUGAAAUAUAACUUCAAGCUUAGGGAGAGAAGUAUUAGGAGGAGAGACAAGAUUGAUCCCAUUGUAGUUGAUGAAAUUAAUUCAGAUGAUGAAUGGAUAACUGAGAAAGAAGGUCCAGUUCUCCCCGUAACUACUAAAUGGCUUGAAGAUGAUGAAUUAUUUGAAAGUGAUCCUAUUGUGAGUGUGUCAUCUGCUACCUUUGAAAGUCUUUUCGACUCAGAUAAGCGAGUCGAAGAUGUUGAGGAUAUAGUUGAAGUUCCUCCUACGAAUUCAAAAAAAAAGAGUUGCUGAAAAUUCAAGUGGAAGCAAAGACAAACAAGCAAGGUUGAGUCUUGUUGAUGUGGAAGAUAAUCAUCUUGAUGCUGAAAAUUAUGGAGUAAUUCCAACUUUUGAUAGUGGAAAUUUUCCAACCAUAGAUACUAUUGAUGAUGAUAGUGAUAUAGAGUUGGAUGAUACUGAUUAUUUUUAAGUUAUGUUGUUUUAAUUAUAAGACUUUUUAAAUUGUUGGUAUGGGAUAUUUUGACAUGUAAUGAAUUAUUAUGAUUAAUUUUAGGUUAUGUUAUUUUUA